Camellia sinensis is the source of this 507-nucleotide non-coding RNA. The record is from RefSeq and is a predicted model, not a curated record. NCBI's taxonomy places the organism in Eukaryota, Viridiplantae, Streptophyta, Magnoliopsida, Ericales, Theaceae.
UUCUGCAGAGACCUACUAAUAGUUAAUUCUCAUAUAUUUUGUAAGGUUCAAACACAUUAUUUUCUUGCAAUGAAUUAUUCUUAACCAAUUGUAUCAUUCUAAUUGUUUUGUCUUCUUUUUCAGGAUGGAAGACAAUUUCAUUUUUCUAAGCAAAAUUACCAGCUUCACUGGAAUUCGAAGGUGAAGUUCAUGUUUCGCGGAAAUGGUUGUUCAGAAUUGCAAGAACAAGUUCAUAUUGGAACACUUGAAAAGCAAAGAGAUGAACUUCAAGAUGAAUUGAAAAAGGUGCUUGCUUGGUGGUCCCCCAUCACCUAAAAAACCCCAUUAUUGCAAUUGCAGAAUUCUCUUCAUUAAAUAUUGACUCAAGUUUUCAACUCUACCUGUUUUUUUAUUUGUGUCACAUGCAUAAUGUUGCACACUUGUACCUGGCCCUGUGUACACUUGUCCCUGGCCCUCUUAAAAAUUGAAACCAUGACUUCCAUUCUAUAGUCAGAUCAUUUUUACUCA